GUGUCAGCCGCCGCGGUAAUACGUAGGGGGCAAGCGUUGUCCGGAAUCAUUGGGCGUAAAGAGCGUGUAGGCGGCCCGAUAAGUCCGCUGUGAAAGUCCAGGGCUCAACCCUGGAAUGCCGGUGGAUACUGUCGGGCUCGAAUCCGGAAGAGGUGAGUGGAAUUCCUGGUGUAGCGGUGAAAUGCGCAGAUAUCAGGAGGAACACCAAUGGCGAAGGCAGCUCACUGGGACGGUAUUGACGCUGAGACGCGAAAGCGUGGGGAGCAAACAGGAUUAGAUACCCCUGUAGUCC
RNAcentral lists this ribosomal RNA (292 nucleotides) under uncultured bacterium. RNAcentral's name for it is "partial 16S ribosomal RNA". It matches the Rfam family "Bacterial small subunit ribosomal RNA", at positions 505 to 796 of the family's 1533-position model. The record is from RNAcentral.